UUCUUCAUCAUCAUUUUUUGUCCAAGCUGGGUGUUUGUUCACCCUCCAGCUUGAAGGGGGGGUGUUGGGCCUCUUCAGCAGUCAGCCCAUGACAAUAGCAGUAGCCCAAGACAAUAGCAGCCCAAAGGUAGCUGCUAUAUUUAUUUGUUGUAUUGGUUUGUAUAGGAGUGAGGGGCACACAUGUAAUUUCACACACACACAUUACAUUUUUUAAUUGGUUUGUAUAUAGAGAAGCGGAAGCUUCGAGACAGAACGAGAAGAAAAUCAUUUCAAUACAUUUCAGAUUUUUUUCUCUCUUCUCUUUCCUUUUACACUGUUCAUCUCCUUCUUCCUUUCUUUCUUCAAUCCGACGAGCUACAAUGUUAACAUGGUAUCAGAGCGGGUAUAUUCUUGCUCUCCUUGUCAUCAGCUUUCGAUCGAUGUUACCCUCGUCGAUUUUCAUCCGUGCUU
Molecule: long non-coding RNA, 450 nt
Filed under: Nicotiana benthamiana
Lineage: Eukaryota; Viridiplantae; Streptophyta; Magnoliopsida; Solanales; Solanaceae
Description: long non-coding RNA (NBEN_LNC038924)
Source: RNAcentral